RNAcentral lists this long non-coding RNA (1119 nucleotides) under Buteo japonicus. Its description in RNAcentral is "lncRNA (ENSBJAG00000012966.1)". The stretch from base 370 to 508 matches the Rfam family "Small nucleolar RNA SNORA8". Lineage: Eukaryota; Metazoa; Chordata; Aves; Accipitriformes; Accipitridae. The record is from RNAcentral.
UUAGAAAAAACCCUUCUUUUGCAACCCACAGCUGAUGAACAUAUUAGUUGUGUUACUUAUAUGAAGGGACAAUAUUCGCGUGUAUUCAAACAGCAAUUAAUUCAAAUACUGAUGAAUGUAGGGAAUGAGUGUCAUGUUCCUGAUUUGCAGAAGUGUAGUUCAGUUAUAUCAAUUUCUUUCCAGAUGCUGCAGCUGAACACGCCAGCUCUGCAGCAGUGAGCAGUUGUAACUUUGCUUGAAUGCUUAUGGCUGUUUGCUGGCCUUCUGAUGUACAAGUAUUACUUCAGUGGACAUUUGUGGAACAUGUUAGCAAAAGAUGUAAGCUUUGUGUUUCCUUACUAUUUCCCACAACAAGUAAUCUGUAAUUUGUGCACUGUAUGGUAUCUGCACCCAGCAGUGUCUUCCUGAUGGGGUGUUCAAAAAGCAGUGCUACAGUAUUUCAGCAGCUGGCAUCGUUGGUUUUCAUGCAGAUGUGCUGGUUAAACUUGGUAUUUCUGUUGAAACAAGUAGAUUGAAAGUUUCUUAGUGGGGAGCUUGUCAAAUACAACAUUGAAGAACUGUUAAGGGAGAAAAGUAUAGUUAAAUCAAUGACCUUGCUGCAAAAUAUUUCUUCUUACAGGGGCAUUCCUGUGAUGUCUGGAACACAGUGGCAAGUAUCUACUUCAGGGAAGUCCACGAUAGCCCAGUCUGAACUAGCAUCUUGGUGGUAUGUAAUUAGAGAAGAUGAGACAAGAAAUGCAGGAUGCCAUUUCACAGAAAUCUGAAGUGCUUCCUAGGGUUAGUAUGACAUCUGAAGUUCUGCAUAUUCCUUAAUGAUUUAAGAGCUCUGGUUUUCAGUGGCUGGAAGUCUGUAUGACAUCAAGCUUACUGACUUGUGGAGGGUUUCAGGGAGUUGUUUCAACUGUAUUUUAAUCUAGCAUUCACUCUAAGUGAAGAAUUUAUUUUAACUUUGAUUUGUCCAAAGAACACUCACAAAUUUCUCAGUCAAAAAGGAGGUGAUCAGCUUAACUGCUUCAACUGAUAGUAUUACUUGUACAAGUAAUUAAUUUAACACUUAGCAGGAAAGUUAUGUGGAGGAUUCUGUUUGAGUACAAUUUUGUAGUUAAUUCCCUUUGUUCU